Long non-coding RNA from Zophobas morio, 764 nucleotides. RefSeq lists it as uncharacterized. NCBI's taxonomy places the organism in Eukaryota, Metazoa, Arthropoda, Insecta, Coleoptera, Tenebrionidae. The transcript is spliced from 4 exons. The record is from RefSeq and is a predicted model, not a curated record.
GAGGGAUCGGGGUCGGCCAGCGGAAACGAGAAGCUGAAGGCAAGGGUUGUAAUGAAGAAUAAUGUAGAGAGAAUCUGGAAGAAAUAAAACAGAGAGUCUUCCGUCCGGUUCAGAGUAUUUCGUGUGUUUGUUGGGCGAAAUUUUUCCCAAAUAGAUUAUAUAGUAUUUGGGUGACCGCACGAAUGCCAAGGACUUUGUCUAGUACAAAUGUUAUGAAAUAUACGUCCGACGACAAAAAUUAUAAUUCCAUCAACACCAUACAUUAGUCAGGGACUUGACGAUGUAACUUCGCGAAAUAGCGUAACAUCCGAACAUAAUUUAUGUUAAUUGCAGCACUAAUUAUCACCUUAGAACUUAAAUUUGUAGGUAACAUCAUCUGAUAAGGGCUUUUAUCCGUGAUGAGUCAUUGUCGUUUUGACUUUCGGGUUUUCCUUACUACCUUUGAAGGGGAAAUGGGGAAAAUCGUUUAUUUCAAGGGUCAUUUAGACCAGGAUUUGAGUUUAUUACUAUAAUGUGCCUGGAUGAAGACAUCGUUUAUGGUCGUAACAAUGACGACAUAAUUUCGCUGCGUCGCACACCUGUGGAUGUUUAAAGAAUUUCAACUAGAAUCCGUUAACAGUUAUCUUGAAUUUAUCACUCAUGAGUGUGUAAAGUGUGUAACGCAAUAUUUAUAGAACGAUGUUUAGUAUUCUAGAAUAAUUGUCAGAUUUAUUGUUCUUUAUUCGCAGUGUAUAAAAUUUGAAAUUAUAGUAGUGUUAAAACAA